AUGUCGUCGUGGUUUCCGUCCUCCUACUACGACGAGGAUGACGUCAAGCCGGCGGUGACGACGCAUUGGCGCCGUGACUAUGGCUACGGCUACGGCGGGGGAGUCGCCGGGGAGGACGUCAAGCCGCGUCCGGGUCCUCCGGGAGCAGGAGCAGGAGCAGGCCGAGGUGUACAUGGACAGGACGAUCGGGCGGCGCUCUCUUGGCCGGCGGCCGAGGAGUUCAAGUCGACGCUGCGCACGCAGGAGUCCCUCGCCGGCCUCCGCACCAGGUACGGCAUCCCGGAGGGGUUCGGCCUGCACCUCGCCGGCCCCGCCCAGGCAGUGUGCGCGCCGCCCCCUCCCGCCGCUCGCGGAGCCCGAGGCGGCGCCGCGGCGGUGCCGAUCUGCGUGCACACGCAGGCGUUCGCCGCGGGCAUGCGCCUGCCGCUGCACCCCUUCUUCAGCGACGCGCUCGCGCACUUCGGCAUCGCCCCGUCGCAGCUCGCGCCCAACGGGUGGCGCGUCCUGGCCGGCUUCGCGGUGCUCUGCCACUUCCGCGGCGCCGGCGCGCCCUCCUUGCCGGUGUUCCGCCACUUCUUCGCCCUCACGCCGCUCCCCAACGGGAAGGGCUGGUUCUCCUUCCGCUCCAGGGAGAGCGUCCCGUCGCUCUUCACCGGGCUCCCCACGUCCGUCAAGGGGUGGAAGGAGGAGUUCCUGCUCGUGUCGCCUCCGCCGGGCGCGCCCUGGAAGUGCCCCGUGCGGUGGGGCUCCCCGACGAAGGAGGCGACGAGCGACCCCAUGCUCACCGGCAACGAUGCGGCCGUGGCGUGCCGGCUGUCGCAGGGGCAGGGCGUCGUCGACCUUAAGACCUACCUCUCCGAGAGCAACCUCGUCGCCGCCAAGAUUAGCCGCGCCCCGGCGUGUGUCGGGACGGGAGCUUCCCAAGGCGCAGCGCCACCGACGGCCUCAGGGAAGAAGAGAAAGGUGGCUGCUCCUGCUGGUGCUGCUGUUGCUGGCGGCGGCGGCGGCGUCGGCGACGUGCUUCGUUCGGAGCUGCGCGCGAAGGAGAUGGCCCUCUCCAAGGCCAAGGGCGAGAUCAGCCAGCUGAAGAAGGAGCUGGGCGAUGCCAAGAAGAGGGAGCUUGCCGAGGCGCAGCAGGCACUGGCCUACGCGGCGCAGGUGCUCAAGCCGGAAGGCGGCGGGAAGGGCGCGGGGGCCGGCAAGCGGCGUCGUGGCGCCCAGUGA
Molecule: ribosomal RNA, 1224 nt
Filed under: Triticum aestivum (bread wheat)
Lineage: Eukaryota; Viridiplantae; Streptophyta; Magnoliopsida; Poales; Poaceae
Description: partial small subunit ribosomal RNA
Source: RNAcentral